This is a non-coding RNA of Podarcis lilfordi (Lilford's wall lizard), 71 nucleotides long. NCBI's taxonomy places the organism in Eukaryota, Metazoa, Chordata, Lepidosauria, Squamata, Lacertidae. The record is from the annotation of a GenBank genome assembly.
GGGCCAUAGCUCAGGAGUAGAGCAUCUGCCUCGCGUGCAGAAGGUAGCAGGUUCAAUUCCUGGCAUCUCCA